Molecule: RNase P RNA, 396 nt
Filed under: Nitritalea halalkaliphila LW7
Lineage: Bacteria; Pseudomonadati; Bacteroidota; Cytophagia; Cytophagales; Cyclobacteriaceae
Description: Bacterial RNase P class A
Rfam family: Bacterial RNase P class A
About the family: Ribonuclease P (RNase P) is a ubiquitous endoribonuclease, found in archaea, bacteria and eukarya as well as chloroplasts and mitochondria.
Source: Rfam by way of RNAcentral
CGUGCAAGUCGGCCUGUCGCCGUCUUUUUUGAAAGAGGGAGGAAAGUCCGGGCAACAAAGAGCGCCAUGCUUCCUAACGGGAAGGGGCUUGGGGCGAGAGGCCCAAGUCACAGCCAGUGCCACAGAAAAGAUACCGCCAGAGAAGGAAACUCCUCCGGUAAGGGUGAAAAGGUGGAGUAAGUGCCCACCGCUGUGCAGGUGACUGCGCAGGCAAGGUAAACCUCAUGGGUUGAAAGGUCAAAUAGACUUCGGGUGAAGGGCUGCUCGUCCGUUUUACUCCGGUAAAUAACCGAAGUGGGUAGACCGAUGGAGGCAUUUCGUGAGGAAUGUCCUAGAUAAAUGACAGGCACUUUUCCCUGAAAAGUACAGAACCCGGCUUAUAGACUUGCACACUUU